This 497-nucleotide ribosomal RNA is filed under the name uncultured bacterium. Its description in RNAcentral is "partial 16S ribosomal RNA". It matches the Rfam family "Bacterial small subunit ribosomal RNA", at positions 28 to 507 of the family's 1533-position model. The record is from RNAcentral.
GAUGAACGCUGGCGGCGUGCCUAAUACAUGCAAGUCGAGCGAACGGACGAGAAGCUUGCUUCUCUGAUGUUAGCGGCGGACGGGUGAGUAACACGUGGAUAACCUACCUAUAAGACUGGGAUAACUUCGGGAAACCGGAGCUAAUACCGGAUAAUAUUUUGAACCGCAUGGUUCAAAAGUGAAAGACGGUCUUGCUGUCACUUAUAGAUGGAUCCGCGCUGCAUUAGCUAGUUGGUAAGGUAACGGCUUACCAAGGCAACGAUGCAUAGCCGACCUGAGAGGGUGGUCGGCCACACUGGAGCUGAGACACGGUCCAGACUCCUACGGGAGGCAGCAGUAGGGAAUCUUCCGCAAUGGGCGAAAGCCUGACGGAGCGACGCCGCGUGAGUGAUGAAGGUCUUCGGAUCGUAAAACUCUGUUAUUAGGGAAGAACAUAUGUGUAAGUAACUGUGCACAUCUUGACGGUACCUAAUCAGAAAGCCACGGCUAACUACGUG